Molecule: long non-coding RNA, 479 nt
Organism: Magnolia sinica
Lineage: Eukaryota; Viridiplantae; Streptophyta; Magnoliopsida; Magnoliales; Magnoliaceae
Exons: 3
Source: RefSeq, a predicted model, not a curated record
AGAUAAAGGACAAGAUUUUAUUUGUUAUUAUUAAUAUUUCAGCUUCAAAUAUGGAUGUGAAAGUAAAAGAAUUUACUGAUGUCUUGAAAGAGCAGUACUAUCCAUGGUUUGCUCAGUAUAUGGUGAUGAAAAGAGCAAGCAUUGAGCCAAAUUUUCAUGAGCUGUACUUGGAAGUUCUUGGAGAAAGUUAAUUCAAGAUUGCUGAAUAAGGAGAUUGUCAAAGCUACUUAUGAGAAUUGCAAGGUGCCUUAGCAAAACUUUUUUGUUACCCCUGGUUGUCGUUGUCAUCACACACAUUUUCCAAUCUCCCAUAGACACGGACGAAUGAGGUCCAGCUAGAGCUUCUACAAGGGACCUUCAAGUGCCUGGAAUGUAGUUUUGUCAUCAGGAAUGUCGAAUAACAAUUCAAAUACAUUGAGGGAAUUGAUUAUUUGAAGUAUGAUAACUGCUGGAAUGGUGGUACUAGGCCAACAAUUUGG